RNAcentral lists this ribosomal RNA (468 nucleotides) under uncultured bacterium. Its description in RNAcentral is "partial 16S ribosomal RNA". It matches the Rfam family "Bacterial small subunit ribosomal RNA", at positions 28 to 507 of the family's 1533-position model. The record is from RNAcentral.
GACGAACGCUGGCGGCGUGCUUAACACAUGCAAGUCGAACGGAAAGGCCCUGCUUUUGGGGGGUGCUCGAGUGGCGAACGGGUGAGUAACACGUGAGUAACCUGCCCCUGACUUUGGGAUAACUUCAGGAAACUGGGGCUAAUACCGGAUAGGAGCUCCUGCUGCUUGGUGGGGGUUGGAAAGUUUCGGCGGUUGGGGAUGGACUCGCGGCUUAUCAGCUUGUUGGUGGGGUAGUGGCUUACCAAGGCUUUGACGGGUAGCCGGCCUGAGAGGGUGACCGGCCCCAUUGGGACUGAGAUACGGCCCAGCCUCCUACGGGAGGCAGCAGUGGGGAAUAUUGCACAAUGGGCGGGAGCCUGGUGCGACAACGCCGCGUGCGGGAUGACGGCCUUCGGGUUGUAAACCGCUUUCGCCUGUGACGGAGCGUGAGUGACGGUAAUGGGUAAAGAAGCACCGGCUAACUACGUG